Molecule: ribosomal RNA, 467 nt
Filed under: uncultured bacterium
Lineage: Bacteria
Description: partial 16S ribosomal RNA
Rfam family: Bacterial small subunit ribosomal RNA
Source: RNAcentral
ACGAACGCUGGCGGCGUGCUUAACCCAUGCCAGUCGAACGGAAAGGCCCUGCUUUUGUGGGGUGCUCGAGUGGCGAACGGGUGAGUAACACGUGAGUAACCUGCCCUUGACUUUGGGAUAACUUCAGGAAACUGGGGCUAAUACCGGAUAGGAGCUCCUGCUGCAUGGGGGGGGUUGGAAAGUUUCGGCGGUUGGGGAUGGACUCGCGGCUUAUCAGCUUGUUGGUGGGGUAGUGGCUUACCAAGGCUUUGACGGGUAGCCGGCCUGAGAGGGUGACCGGCCACAUUGGGACUGAGAUACGGCCCAGACUCCUACGGGAGGCAGCAGUGGGGAAUAUUGCACAAUGGGCGGAAGCCUGAUGCAGCAACGCCGCGUGCGGGAUGACGGCCUUCGGGUUGUAAACCGCUUUCGCCUGUGACGAAGCGUGAGUGACGGUAAUGGGUAAAGAAGCACCGGCUAACUACGUG